UCGGAAGUGCAAUAUUGAGUUUUUGAUUUUAAACACUGCCUACAUCCUGUAUGUGUUUUGCAUCCGAUACAGUUGUAGGAGUCGUUUGCAGUCAGAGAUUUCACAGACUGCGAGGAUCGA
RNAcentral lists this microRNA precursor (120 nucleotides) under Drosophila simulans. Its description in RNAcentral is "microRNA dsi-mir-975 precursor". Its record names the gene dsi-mir-975. The stretch from base 15 to 105 matches the Rfam family "mir-975 microRNA precursor family". The record is from miRBase by way of RNAcentral. Lineage: Eukaryota; Metazoa; Arthropoda; Insecta; Diptera; Drosophilidae.